Coffea arabica (coffee) is the source of this 947-nucleotide long non-coding RNA. RefSeq lists it as uncharacterized. The record is from RefSeq and is a predicted model, not a curated record. Lineage: Eukaryota; Viridiplantae; Streptophyta; Magnoliopsida; Gentianales; Rubiaceae.
CAGACAAGAAACCAGCAUCUCUUCUUUUCUUCUUCUUCGGGUGAGAGUACUAGCAAGUACUCUUCACUUCCUGUAACAGAGAUGGCUCCUUCACAUGCUUAUUGUACUUGGAAGCAUGGAAGGCCUGAAAUCCCUCAGAGAUUAGGUGUCUUCUUUUUCCCCAAAAUUCAGGGAUUUUUCCCCACAAAAGUGGCCAGCCGUUUGAUUUCUUUCAUUUGUACUGAAAUUGGUUUUGCAGCCAUCCAAUUUUCCCAUGAACUCCAUAAUUCUAAAUCAUAUUUUCAGGGAUUUGAUGUGACAGACAUUAAGUGAGUAGUAAUUUAGGUUUUUAGGUUUUAAAAAGGAAAAGAAAGGGAAGUGCCCAUAUAAAGGGUGUAUUUCUUUCUCUGAAGACCUUGCGCUUGGGAGCUUCUUCUGCCUCUAGCUUUGCUGUCUAUUCUAUUUGCUGUGCAUCUUUUGCUCCAACAAGUUGGCAUAUACAGCUCUCAGAUAAGCCAGCCUCUUCAAACAUUGCUGCAAAAAGAAGCUUAACUUUUGAAACUCCACCUACUGCUGAGAAGACAACCAUUGAAGCUGUUCUCUUAAUUGCUGGAAAAAAUGGUCCUGAAGACAACAAGCCUGCAUCUUCAAAAUCUGCUCAUAUGAGCCCUCUCAAGAAGCCACGUGAAUCUGCAAAAUGAAGCAGUCACACAGCUUCAUAUCCUCUUUUGUUCAUCCUUUUGUUCAUCAUGGAUGCUACUGAACUUUUAGCAUGCUAUCUUUUGCCAUCAUAUUAGAAUCCAUUAACAUUCUUGCUAUGACUAGAAGUUAAUGAAUCCUAAUAUAUGAUAUUAUGUAACUAUUAGCAUGCAUUAUGUAUCUCUACUUGGGACUUAUUGUACUGGAAGGUGUGUAACUGCUAUUGAAAUUGUUGACAGUUAUCUAUGAAUGGUAAUUAUGAUAUUAUG